Molecule: ribosomal RNA, 496 nt
Filed under: uncultured bacterium
Lineage: Bacteria
Description: partial 16S ribosomal RNA
Rfam family: Bacterial small subunit ribosomal RNA
Source: RNAcentral
GAUGAACGCUGGCGGCGUGCCUAAUACAUGCAAGUCGAGCGAACAGACGAGGAGCUUGCUCCUCUGACGUUAGCGGCGGACGGGUGAGUAACACGUGGAUAACCUACCUAUAAGACUGGGAUAACUCGGGAAACCGGAGCUAAUACCGGAUAAUAUAUUGAACCGCAUGGUUCAAUAGUGAAAGACGGUUUUGCUGUCACUUAUAGAUGGAUCCGCGCCGCAUUAGCUAGUUGGUAAGGUAACGGCUUACCAAGGCAACGAUGCGUAGCCGACCUGAGAGGGUGAUCGGCCACACUGGAACUGAGACACGGUCCAGACUCCUACGGGAGGCAGCAGUAGGGAAUCUUCCGCAAUGGGCGAAAGCCUGACGGAGCAACGCCGCGUGAGUGAUGAAGGUCUUCGGAUCGUAAAACUCUGUUAUUAGGGAAGAACAAAUGUGUAAGUAACUAUGCACGUCUUGACGGUACCUAAUCAGAAAGCCACGGCUAACUACGUG